AUUGAACGCUGGCGGCAGGCUUAACACAUGCAAGUCGAGCGGAGAGAGGUAGCUUGCUACUGAUCUUAGCGGCGGACGGGUGAGUAAUGCUUAGGAAUCUGCCUAUUAGUGGGGGACAACAUUUCGAAAGGAAUGCUAAUACCGCAUACGUCCUACGGGAGAAAGCAGGGGAUCUUCGGACCUUGCGCUAAUAGAUGAGCCUAAGCCGGAUUAGCUAGUUGGUGGGGUAAAGGCCUACCCAGGCGACGAUCUGUAGCGGGUCUGAGAGGAUGGUCCGCCACACUGGGACUGAGACACGGACCAGACUCCUACGGGCGGCAGCAGUGGGGAAUAUUGGACAAUGGGCGGCAGCCUGAGCCAGCCAUGCCGCGUGUGUGAAGAAGGCCUUAUGGUUGUAAAGCACUUUAAGCGAGGAGGAGGCUACUUUAGUUAAUACCUAGAGAUAGUGGACGUUACUCGCAGAAUAAGCACCGGCUAACUCUGUGCCAGCCGCCGCAGUAA
RNAcentral lists this ribosomal RNA (501 nucleotides) under uncultured bacterium. RNAcentral describes it as "partial 16S ribosomal RNA". It matches the Rfam family "Bacterial small subunit ribosomal RNA", at positions 30 to 523 of the family's 1533-position model. The record is from RNAcentral.